AGGCCCAGAGACGUGCCUUCCUCUUCUUUCCAGGGUCCUGGCCUGUCUUGUCUGUUGGGCGGGUAUGCUUCCUUCCUGGCCUUCCUUGUGGAGCAUGUCUGGGAGUGUGCUAGGAAAUGAGGGAGGAAAAUAUGUAACUUGAUAUCUGCUCCUUGACCCUGGCUGACCUGGUUAACUCUCUCCAGGAUGGAAGCAAAGCCUGCCCGGGAAACCUUCCAUUGCAGGAACAUCUCGGCCUGAAGCUGUCAUCAGGGAGCAGGAUCUGCUUCCCGGACUCUGAGCAGAACAAUGGGAGCCCCAGCAGGCUGGCGAGGCUGACAAGCCCUAGGACGGUGACCUCUCCGAUCUCCAGAUCGGAAACUCAGAAACGUGUAAGUGCCAGAAUCCGCAUUUGGGAAUCUGUUAUUUCUCCCUCUGCGAGUCAACCUGAUCACCCUGGAAGCCUCACUGUCUCUCAGCCCUUGUUCCCAUUUUUCUUUCCAUGAACACCGCAAUCAGAUACGAGAUUCCAGUAAUGAUGGUUCUUGAAAAUUAAACAAAUCAAAAAGAAAGCCAGCCAAGGUAUGGAGUGGGGGACCUCUAAGUUCCCCUGGAGGAGACACUGGGGCCAGGUUCCGAGGUGCAUUCGGAGCCAGAAUCCCUAAUGGAAUUGAACAAUUAUCCUGAAGCUGCUCUCUGAAAGCCGCGGUUUUCCUAAAACACUGUGCUUGGCGUGCCUGGGCUUCUUGGCACUGGCCCAUGACCCACAGCAGCAAAUCGUUCCCAGGAAGCUAUUGUUAUUUGUGUAUCUGAUAGCAUUCAGCUGAGUACACUGACAGCAACAUUUAGAAAGGAAAAGAAAAAAGAAGCGUAGAGUGAAAAGGACAAAAAGGAGGCUUCCAACAUCCUGGUGGGAACAGAAAACCAGCAAAGCCUCUUUUCCAGCCCUUAUCCUUGUGAGUUUGGACUCUGCAGAACUGUCAUCCCCCAGGCAUAGCUGCAGCUUGUAUGAAGGUGGGCAUCAGGCGCGGAGAUUCAGGACAGUGUGCACCUGCUUUCCUCCAACGGGACCCCCUCUGUUCUUCCCAGGAAUGCCUGUAAACUGCCACUGCCUCUAGGGGCUGCACCAAGUCCCUGUGUACUCCCAGGACACAAUGGAGUGGAAUGGAGUGGCUCUGUUCUGUCAGGGCCUAACAUUCCAAAUGAAUUCAUUCCCUUCUGGGAAAAAAGAACCACCUUGCUCAGAGCACAAUGUUCCCAUGUCUUGGCUUACCUUGAAGCAUUUUUGAUACACCUGUUGGGACAAUGCGUUCUGCCAAGAGAAGGGAAGUAGCAUACUUUGUUCUAUUUUUUACUCUCAAUGGGCUACGUUUCCAUUGUGUUGGUUUCCCUUACAGAAAGUAACACACACAGAAGAGAAGGUUAUAGGAUUCCAUGCUGCUUGGCAAAGGCACAAAAUAUGUGCACAUAUUUACAUGGAAUAUGAGGGUAAACUAGAAAAUUAAGGGUAAUCUAAAAUAGAAAAAAAGAAGAAAACAAUAAGUUAAAAGUAUGAAAAGACAUCCAGAAUGAGCAAGUUACUGAGGUUGUGCCUCAACUUUAGCUUGAGUUUCCUGGCAGCAAAGGUAAAAAGGUGAUCUUACAGCUGGAAAAUCAGUGGGUGAAAACGGAGAUACAGCAACUCUCACAGUGACGGGCUCUUGGCAGUCUGAAGAAGCAUGAACCAGAACUAAGCCUGGUCUCUCAGGAUUUGGUGGAUGUCUAAGUUGCAGGGUUAAGAAGUUGCAGUUCCUUCUUUCAACUCAACCUCUAGCAGUUGGAUACAGAAGCAAUUGUCGAACCUGGGCACCUAAGGGGACAGGACUGUCAGUGUCCUGGAAAUCAUGUUCUUCUCUUUGGUUUUCACCACCUCUUAAUGGCAUAUCUUCUAUAUUUCCUUUAAUGCGAACACAGGUAACGAGUUGGUUAUAACCCUUUUCUCAGGGCCAGGCUGCCAUGCCAUCGCUCCUCCAGAGAGCAAACACGAAACAUGAUCCUAUGGCAAGAACAUACAAUGCCAGGUCCCUGGAUUUAGGUCCUGCUCUGUCAUUGACUGUAUAUUCCCAUAAAGAAGAUUAAAACUC
Molecule: long non-coding RNA, 2102 nt
Filed under: Homo sapiens (human)
Lineage: Eukaryota; Metazoa; Chordata; Mammalia; Primates; Hominidae
Description: HSALNT0356531
Source: RNAcentral